AGGCAGGUGCACAAGGAAGGUCAAUCAGUCAGAAAUGCAGACAGUGCUAAUAAGUUGCCUGCUAAAGGGGCCUAGUUAGAGUGAUUAAGCUCAGGGCAAUUUUUCUAUCAAAAGCUUUUUAGUUGUAACAAAAUAAAAUGGCUAACUGUGAGAAAAAUUUAAUUAUAACUCCAUUAUAGGAUAUUUCACUAAAACUGUGAACAUCGAACUCUGGAUUCUGUGGUCUGGUGUGCAAUGGAGGCUGUAAAGCAAAUAUGUUUUUAAGCAAAUACAGCAAAUAUGGCUCUAAAUAGACUGAAUACAGCAUGGACAUCAGAUCGCCAUGGUAGAUUCAACUGAAGCGAUUUCAUUUUCCACCUGGUUUCUCUGCACAUGAACGAAAUCCUGGCUUAUCUUUGGUGUGGCGAUUCUACCCAUUAUAAAAGUCUCACAUGCAGGACUUGAGCGGUUUUUGGAC
RNAcentral lists this long non-coding RNA (457 nucleotides) under Oreochromis niloticus (Nile tilapia). RNAcentral's name for it is "lncRNA (ENSONIG00000030869.1)". The record is from RNAcentral. Lineage: Eukaryota; Metazoa; Chordata; Actinopteri; Cichliformes; Cichlidae.